AGCGGGGACAAAGACACCUCAGCGCAGUGAAAGGGACAAGCCCGUACGACGUAGGUGAGGUCAGAGCGAUGUAUCGCUGCUGAUGUCGGCGGUGAAGCGCUGGAUGCCGUGGCUUCGCAGCGACCUGCAGCAGUGAAGACAUUUGUGCCAUCCUUCUGAUGGACAGAGUAUCAGCGUAACUCGAACGUAUCCCACCCCGGCCCUCGCACUCCCUACUCGUGUGGGAGAGUCUGUGCCAUGGCGAGCGGAAUGCGCCAGGAGUGGCAACCUCCAUCAUGGGGAAGUGCCUGUGAGGCGACAUGCGAGGCCGGGGGGGGCGAAUGAGUAGUAUUCGAGGCAGAGGCCGUGCUCUCCGAUGACUGAGUCGGCACAUUGCUGUACCGCGCGUGUCCACGGCUGCUUCGCACCACGUGACGAACCUGUGAAAGGCCUGGGCCCGAGUGGCGUUUGACUCAUGCUGUAGAGCGGAACAGGCACGCUCUAGAGCAUAGGCUCAUCUUGCUUGCUCUCCAUCUGCUAUUGUACGACCGAUGCGCCACCGCCUCGAGUUCUCUUUCUGGUAAAAGCGAGCCUUUUUCAUCGCUGCCGCGACGGGCAUGAUACAUGAAGUAUUCUAUCAAGUGCCUUAAUCGUGGCAUCCAUCUCCCUCUUUGCGCAUAUGGACAUGAACUAAACCAUCCCCGCUUUCCCAAGGUCUUCCCACCUGCUGCUUUUGUUUCCGUAUUUCCUCCACCACCAUCGCUCUCCCCGUGAAG
This 755-nucleotide unclassified non-coding RNA is filed under the name Leishmania donovani. RNAcentral describes it as "gene:unknown". Lineage: Eukaryota; Euglenozoa; Kinetoplastea; Trypanosomatida; Trypanosomatidae. The record is from RNAcentral.